RNAcentral lists this ribosomal RNA (397 nucleotides) under uncultured bacterium. Its description in RNAcentral is "partial 16S ribosomal RNA". It matches the Rfam family "Bacterial small subunit ribosomal RNA", at positions 523 to 918 of the family's 1533-position model. The record is from RNAcentral.
AUACGUAGGUGGCAAGCGUUGUCCGGAAUUAUUGGGCGUAAAGCGCGCGCAGGCGGUCCUUUAAGUCUGAUGUGAAAGCCCACGGCUCAACCGUGGAGGGUCAUUGGAAACUGGAGGACUUGAGUGCAGAAGAGGAAAGUGGAAUUCCAAGUGUAGCGGUGAAAUGCGUAGAGAUUUGGAGGAACACCAGUGGCGAAGGCGACUUUCUGGUCUGCAACUGCCGCUGAGGCGCGAAAGCGGGGGGAGCAAACAGGAUUAGAUCCCCUGGUAGUCCACGCCGUAAACGAUGAGUGCUAAGUGUUAGGGGGUUUCCGCCCCUUAGUGCUGCAGCUAACGCAUUAAGCACUCCGCCUGGGGAGUACGGUCGCAAGACUGAAACUUAAAGGAAGUGACGGUG